Long non-coding RNA from Metopolophium dirhodum (rose-grain aphid), 396 nucleotides. RefSeq lists it as uncharacterized. NCBI's taxonomy places the organism in Eukaryota, Metazoa, Arthropoda, Insecta, Hemiptera, Aphididae. The transcript is spliced from 3 exons. The record is from RefSeq and is a predicted model, not a curated record.
UGCAGAAGACACAUUCGACUAAAAAUUCUAAAAUUUCAAUAAGCAAAGAAGAUAUUCUAAGUUCUGGCUGUAUUCUGGAGCGUUUCCUCAUGGGCGUCGCAAUUCACACACGUCACGGAUUCCGCCGAAGGAGUCGAUAAUUAAAACUGAACUUUUGGAUCGGAGAUAUGAAGACGCGCGCUGCAUUUUCCUUGGCGGAGAUGCACAGCUCUGACACUAGACAUUAUUAUACACUCGAAGGGAACGCGUUUCGCCGGAAGAAUAAAUAAUUACAAAUGGUAUUCGUCAGUGAACAUUUUCAAACUGGGAAUAAUAUAUCAUAAGCAGAUUGAAAUGUGUGAACGUUUCAGUGUUUUGAAGACUAAGUUUCGUAGCAGAUUUCGAUUCCGUCACGGG